This 106-nucleotide ribosomal RNA is filed under the name uncultured bacterium. RNAcentral describes it as "partial 16S ribosomal RNA". It matches the Rfam family "Bacterial small subunit ribosomal RNA", at positions 1378 to 1482 of the family's 1533-position model. The record is from RNAcentral.
CCCUUGUACACACCGCCCGUCACACCACGAAAAGCUGGUUGCACCAGAAGCCGGUGACCCAACCGCAAGGAGGGAGCCGUCCAAGGUUUGACUGGUGAUUGGGGUG